RNAcentral lists this ribosomal RNA (445 nucleotides) under uncultured bacterium. RNAcentral describes it as "bacterial SSU rRNA". It matches the Rfam family "Bacterial small subunit ribosomal RNA", at positions 29 to 518 of the family's 1533-position model. The record is from RNAcentral.
AGCGAACGCUGGCGGCAGGCUUAACACAUGCAAGUCGAGCGGGCGUAGCAAUACGUCAGCGGCAGACGGGUGAGUAACGCGUGGGAACGUACCUUUUGGUUCGGAACAACUGAGGGAAACUUCAGCUAAUACCGGAUAAGCCCUUACGGGGAAAGAUUUAUCGCCGAAAGAUCGGCCCGCGUCUGAUUAGCUAGUUGGUGAGGUAACGGCUCACCAAGGCGACGAUCAGUAGCUGGUCUGAGAGGAUGAUCAGCCACAUUGGGACUGAGACACGGCCCAAACUCCUACGGGAGGCAGCAGUGGGGAAUAUUGGACAAUGGGCGAAAGCCUGAUCCAGCCAUGCCGCGUGAGUGAUGAAGGCCCUAGGGUUGUAAAGCUCUUUUGUGCGGGAAGAUAAUGACGGUACGCAAGAAUAAGCCCCGGCUAACUUCGUGCCAGCAGCCGC